AUCUUUCUGGUUCAUGCAUGUGAUGAUUGGUCAAAUCACGGAUCAAUCUGUGAAAGGUGCAGCCUUCUCUUGUUACGCUAUGCGCCUCAGCCUCUCUGAUC
Molecule: small nucleolar RNA, 101 nt
Organism: Takifugu rubripes (torafugu)
Lineage: Eukaryota; Metazoa; Chordata; Actinopteri; Tetraodontiformes; Tetraodontidae
Product: small nucleolar RNA U13
Source: Ensembl